Molecule: ribosomal RNA, 316 nt
Filed under: uncultured fungus
Lineage: Eukaryota; Fungi
Description: SSU rRNA
Rfam family: Eukaryotic small subunit ribosomal RNA
Source: RNAcentral
CGACCUGCUAAAUAGUCUGGCUAAUCCGUCAGGAUUGGUUUGGACUUCUUAGAGGGACUAUCGGUGUGUAAUCGGUGGAAGUUCGAGGCAAUAACAGGUCUGUGAUGCCCUUAGAUGUUCUGGGCCGCACGCGCGCUACACUGAUACGUUCAUCGAGCUUACAACCUUGACUGAGAGGUCUGGGUAAUCUUCAAAUCGUAUCGUGCUGGGGAUAGAUUAUUGUAAUUUUUAAUCUUCAACGAGGAAUUUCUAGUAAACGCGAGUCAUCAGCUCGCAUUGAUUACGUCCCUGCCCUUUGUACACACCGCCCGUCGCU